This is a non-coding RNA of Gossypium arboreum, 145 nucleotides long. NCBI's taxonomy places the organism in Eukaryota, Viridiplantae, Streptophyta, Magnoliopsida, Malvales, Malvaceae. The record is from Rfam.
AGUUAAAAUUUUCAUCUAUAUCUACUAUUACAAACUAUCACGACUGACGAAAUAACCACACAAUUACACUUAGCCUACCACAUGUACUUCAUGUUGACAUACAUGGACCAAUUUUUAAUAAUAGAAAUGGAUAAAAAUUUUAACA